This 465-nucleotide ribosomal RNA is filed under the name uncultured bacterium. RNAcentral's name for it is "partial 16S ribosomal RNA". It matches the Rfam family "Bacterial small subunit ribosomal RNA", at positions 28 to 507 of the family's 1533-position model. The record is from RNAcentral.
GACGAACGCUGGCGGCGUGCUUAACACAUGCAAGUCGAACGGAAAGGCCCUGCUUGCAGGGUACUCGAGUGGCGAACGGGUGAGUAACACGUGGGUGAUCUGCCCUGCACUUCGGGAUAAGCCUGGGAAACUGGGUCUAAUACCGGAUAGGAGCCAUUUUUAGUGUGAUGGUUGGAAAGUUUUUUCGGUGUAGGAUGAGCUCGCGGCCUAUCAGCUUGUUGGCGGGGUAAUGGCCUACCAAGGCGGCGACGGGUAGCCGGCCUGAGAGGGUGGACGGCCACCUUGGGACUGAGAUACGGCCCAGACUCCUACGGGAGGCAGCAGUGGGGAAUAUUGCACAAUGGGCGCAAGCCUGAUGCAGCGACGCCGCGUGGGGGAUGACGGCCUUCGGGUUGUAAACUCCUUUCGCUAGGGACGAAGCUUUUUGUGACGGUACCUAGAUAAGAAGCACCGGCUAACUACGUG